Regulatory RNA element from Corynebacterium riegelii, 124 nucleotides. It matches the Rfam family "atpB RNA". The record is from Rfam. NCBI's taxonomy places the organism in Bacteria, Bacillati, Actinomycetota, Actinomycetes, Mycobacteriales, Corynebacteriaceae.
CUGUCCCGCGGUAGCAGAUGUGCGACGGAGUCCGCCGCGGAGGCAGUCUUCUUGAAGAAGUCCAUCGCACCGCAUUCCUUGUGGAUGCGGCCCGAGAACGGGAGAGAACGCUGAGCGUUACAAC